UACGUAGGCAGCGAGCGUUGUUCGGAGUUACUGGGCGUAAAGGGUGCGUAGGCGGCUUUUUAAGUUUGGUGUGAAAUCUCCCGGCUCAACUGGGAGGGUGCGCCGAAUACUGAAUGACUCGAGUGUGGGAGAGGUGAGUGGAAUUCCUGGUGUAGCGGUGAAAUGCGUAGAUAUCAGGAGGAACACCGGUGGUGUAGACGGCUCACUGGACCAUAACUGACGCUGGGACACGAAAGCGUGGGUAGCAAACAGG
This 253-nucleotide ribosomal RNA is filed under the name uncultured bacterium. RNAcentral describes it as "partial 16S ribosomal RNA". It matches the Rfam family "Bacterial small subunit ribosomal RNA", at positions 524 to 776 of the family's 1533-position model. The record is from RNAcentral.